Molecule: transfer RNA, 73 nt
Filed under: marine sediment metagenome
Description: tRNA-Asn
Rfam family: tRNA
About the family: Transfer RNA (tRNA) molecules are approximately 80 nucleotides in length. Their secondary structure includes four short double-helical elements and three loops (D, anti-codon, and T loops).
Source: RNAcentral
GGGGCGGUAACUCAGAGGCCAGAGUGCUUAGCUGUUAACUAAGAAGUCAUUGGUUCAAAUCCAAUCCGUCCCG